RNAcentral lists this ribosomal RNA (858 nucleotides) under Absconditella sp. RNAcentral's name for it is "SSU rRNA". It matches the Rfam family "Bacterial small subunit ribosomal RNA", at positions 370 to 1294 of the family's 1533-position model. The record is from RNAcentral. Lineage: Eukaryota; Fungi; Ascomycota; Lecanoromycetes; Ostropales; Stictidaceae.
AAUAGCCUAACGGCUGAACCAGCAACUUGGAAGAAUGUAUAGCGAAAGCUAAUUGUAUUAAAUUAAUGCAGUGUGAAUAAUGUUCAUUAAAGUUCUAGAUAAAAAAAAUGAUUAUGACAUUUUAUAUUUAUAAGUCUUGACCAAGUCAUGUGCCAGCCGUCGCGGUAAUACAUGGAAGACUAGUGUUAUUCAUCUUUAAUAGGUUUAAAGGGUACCUAGACAGUUAAUAAAGCUUAUAUUACAAGAGUACUAAUUAACUAGAGUUUGAUAUGAGAAGAUAGAACGAGGAGUGUAGAGAUGUAAUUCUGUGAUCCCCUAUGGACUGUUUAAGGCGAAAGCGAUCUUUUAUGUAAAAACUGACGUUGAGGGACGAAGGCUCAGGUAGCAAAUAGGAUUAGGUAACCUAGUAGUCAGGGCAGACAAUGAUGAAUGUCAUAUGUAAGUAAAUAAAUAUUUAUAUAUAAAUGAAAGUGUAAGCAUUCCACCUCAAGAGUAAUGCGGCAACGCAUAAACUGAAAUCAUUAGACCGUUUUUGAAACCAGUAGUGAAGUAUGUUGUUUAAUUUGAUAAUCCACGGAAAACCUUACCACAAUUUGAAUAUAUAUUCAAAAUAUAUACAAGAGUUGCACGGCUGUCUUAAGUUAAUGUCGUGAGACUUUGGUUAGUUCCAAAAAAUCAACGUAAACCCUUAUUUUAUUUUUAAAUAAAAUAGUUCUCCAAUAUAUUGGAUAAGAUAACAGGGAUUAAGACAAGUCAUCAUGGCCCGAACAUUGUGGGCUAUAGACGUGCCACAUAUUCUAUACAAAAAGAUGCAAAAUUGUGAAAUUUAGCUAAUCUUAUCAAAAAUUGAUAUAAUAU